This 83-nucleotide transfer RNA is filed under the name Clostridia bacterium. RNAcentral's name for it is "tRNA-Leu". It matches the Rfam family "tRNA". From Rfam's summary of the family: Transfer RNA (tRNA) molecules are approximately 80 nucleotides in length. Their secondary structure includes four short double-helical elements and three loops (D, anti-codon, and T loops). The record is from RNAcentral. Lineage: Bacteria; Bacillati; Bacillota; Clostridia.
GCGGGCGUGGUGGAAUUGGCAGACACGAAGGUUUUAGGAGCCUUUGCUUCGGUGUGUGGGUUCGAGUCCCACCGUCCGCACCA